RNAcentral lists this ribosomal RNA (497 nucleotides) under uncultured bacterium. RNAcentral describes it as "partial 16S ribosomal RNA". It matches the Rfam family "Bacterial small subunit ribosomal RNA", at positions 28 to 507 of the family's 1533-position model. The record is from RNAcentral.
GACGAAUGCUGGCGGCGUGCCUAAUACAUGCAAGUUGAGCGAUGAAGAUUGGUGCUUGCACCAAUUUGAAGAGCAGCGAACGGGUGAGUAACGCGUGGGGAAUCUGCCUUUGAGCGGGGGACAACAUUUGGAAACGAAUGCUAAUACCGCAUAACAACUUUAAACAUAAGUUUUAAGUUUGAAAGAUGCAAUUGCAACACUCAAAGAUGAUCCCGCGUUGUAUUAGCUAGUUGGUGAGGUAAAGGCUCACCAAGGCGAUGAUACAUAGCCGACCUGAGAGGGUGAUCGGCCACAUUGGGACUGAGACACGGCCCAAACUCCUACGGGAGGCAGCAGUAGGGAAUCUUCGGCAAUGGACGAAAGUCUGACCGAGCAACGCCGCGUGAGUGAAGAAGGUUUUCGGAUCGUAAAACUCUGUUGGUAGAGAAGAACGUUGGUGAGAGUGGAAAGCUCAUCAAGUGACGGUAACUACCCAGAAAGGGACGGCUAACUACGUG